GUAAGUAACCUGCCUUUAAGACGAGGAUAACAACCGGAAACGGUUGCUAAGACUGGAUAGGAAACAAAAAGGCAUCUUUUUGUUUUUAAAAGACCUUCUUACGAAGGUAUGCUUAAAGAGGGGCUUGCGCCACAUUAGUUAGUUGGUAGAGUAAAAGCCUACCAAGACGAUGAUGUGUAGCUGGACUGAGAGGUUGAACAGCCACAUUGGGACUGAGACACGGCCCAAACUCCUACGGGAGGCAGCAGUAGGGAAUUUUCGGCAAUGGAGGAAACUCUGACCGAGCAACGCCGCGUGAACGAUGAAGUAUUUCGGUAUGUAAAGUUCUUUUAUUGAAGAAGAAAAAGUAGUGGAAAAACUAUAUUGACGUUAUUCAAUGAAUAAGCCCCGGCUAACUAUGUGCCAGCAGCCGCGGUAAGACAUAGGGGGCGAGCGUUAUCCGGAAUUAUUGGGCGUAAAGGGUGCGUAGGCUGUUAGAUAAGUCUAUAAUUUAAUUUCAGUGCUUAACGCUGUCUUGUUAUAGAAACUGUCUUGACUAGAGUGAGAUAGAGGCAAGCGGAAUUCCAUGUGUAGCGGUAAAAUGUGUAAAUAUAUGGAGGAACACCAGAAGCGUAGGCGGCUUGCUGGGUCUUUACUGACGCUGAGGCACGAAAGCGUGGGUAGCAAACAGGAUUAGAUACCCUGGUAGUCCACGCCGUAAACGAUGAGUACUAAGUGUCGGGGUAAAACUCGGUACUGAAGUUAACACAUUAAGUACUCCGCCUGAGUAGUACGUACGCAAGUAUGAAACUUAAAGGAAUUGACGGGACUCCGCACAAGCGGUGGAUCAUGUUGUUUAAUUCGAAGAUACACGAAAAAUCUUACCAGGUCUUGACAUACUCUGCAAAGCUAUAGAAAUAUAGUGGAGGUUAUCAGAGAUACAGGUGGUGCAUGGUUGUCGUCAGUUCGUGUCGUGAGAUGUUAGGUUAAGUCCUAAAACGAGCGCAACCCUUGUCGUUAAUUGCCAGCACGUAAUGGUGGGGACUUUAACGAGACUGCCAAUUAAAAAUUGGAGGAAGGUGAGGAUUACGUCAAAUCAUCAUGCCCCUUAUGAUCUGGGCUACAAACGUGAUACAAUGGCUGUGACAAAGAGUAGCUGAAACGCGAGUUUUUAGCCAAUCUCAAAAAAGCAGUCUCAGUUCGGAUUGAAGUCUGUAACUCGACUUCAUGAAGUUGGAAUCGCUAGUAAUCGCGAAUCAGCAUGUCGCGGUGAAUACGUUCUCGGGGUUUGUACACACCGCCCGUCAAACCACGAAAGUUAGCAAUACCCAAAAGCAGUAGCUUAACUUCGCAAGAAGAGGGAACUGUCUAAGGUAGGGUUGAUGAUUGGGGUUAAGUCGUAACAAGGUAUCCCUACCGGAAGGUGGGGAUGGAUCACCUCCUUUCU
Molecule: ribosomal RNA, 1426 nt
Filed under: Candidatus Phytoplasma trifolii
Lineage: Bacteria; Bacillati; Mycoplasmatota; Mollicutes; Acholeplasmatales; Acholeplasmataceae
Description: bacterial SSU rRNA
Rfam family: Bacterial small subunit ribosomal RNA
Source: RNAcentral